GACGAACGCUGGCGGUGUGCUUAACACAUGCAAGUCGUGCGACGAACCAGACUUCGGUCUGGGGCAAAGCGGCGAACGGGUGAGUAACACGUGGGUAAUCUGCCCCGAUGACUGGGACAACCCGAGGAAACUCGGGCUAAUACCGGAUGUGGUGCCUGGACUCAAGUCCGGUCACUAAAGGUAGCUUCGGCUUCCGCAUUGGGAGGGGCCCGCGGCCCAUUAGCUUGUUGGUGGGGUCAAGGCCUACCAAGGCAACGAUGGGUAGCUGGUCUGAGAGGACGAUCAGCCACACUGGGACUGAGACACGGCCCAGACUCCUACGGGAGGCAGCAGUGGGGAAUCUUGCGCAAUGCGCGAAAGCGUGACGCAGCAACACCGCGUGAGGGAAGACGGCCUUAGGGUUGUAAACCUCUUUCAGAUGGGACGAAGGUGAUGCGGUGAAUAGCCGAUGUCAUUGACGGUACCGUCAGAAGAAGCUCCGGCUAACUACGUGCCAGCA
Molecule: ribosomal RNA, 499 nt
Filed under: uncultured bacterium
Lineage: Bacteria
Description: bacterial SSU rRNA
Rfam family: Bacterial small subunit ribosomal RNA
Source: RNAcentral